GAUGAACGCUGGCGGCGUGCCUAAUACAUGCAAGUCGAGCGAGCGGACGAGAAGCUUGCUUUUCUGAUGUUAGCGGCGGACGGGUGAGUAACACGUGGAUAACCUACCUAUAAGACUGGGAUAACUUCGGGAAACCGGAGCUAAUACCGGAUAAUAUUUUGAACCGCAUGGUUCAAAAGUGAAAGACGGUCUUGCUGUCACUUAUAGAUGGAUCCGCGCUGCAUUAGCUAGUUGGUAAGGUAACGGCUUACCAAGGCAACGAUGCAUAGCCGACCUGAGAGGGUGAUCGGCCACACUGGAACUGAGACACGGUCCAGACUCCUACGGGAGGCAGCAGUAGGGAAUCUUCCGCAAUGGGCGAAAGCCUGACGGAGCAACGCCGCGUGAGUGAUGAAGGUCUUCGGAUCGUAAAACUCUGUUAUUAGGGAAGAACAUAUGUGUAAGUAACUGUGCACAUCUUGACGGUACCUAAUCAGAAAGCCACGGCUAACUACGUG
This 497-nucleotide ribosomal RNA is filed under the name uncultured bacterium. RNAcentral's name for it is "partial 16S ribosomal RNA". It matches the Rfam family "Bacterial small subunit ribosomal RNA", at positions 28 to 507 of the family's 1533-position model. The record is from RNAcentral.